CCCAGGGAAGCGUUUUGUCUACGUCAGCAGAAAUCGCGUCCUUGAGGGUGCGCUUUGCUGACAUGGACAAAACGCUUCCCCGGGG
This is a non-coding RNA of Gossypium hirsutum (cotton), 85 nucleotides long. NCBI's taxonomy places the organism in Eukaryota, Viridiplantae, Streptophyta, Magnoliopsida, Malvales, Malvaceae. The record is from Rfam.